GAUUAAAAAUUGAGUGUUGGGGCUGG
RNAcentral lists this non-coding RNA (26 nucleotides) under Cricetulus griseus (Chinese hamster). Lineage: Eukaryota; Metazoa; Chordata; Mammalia; Rodentia; Cricetidae. The record is from RNAcentral.